Orbicella faveolata is the source of this 992-nucleotide long non-coding RNA. The record is from RefSeq and is a predicted model, not a curated record. NCBI's taxonomy places the organism in Eukaryota, Metazoa, Cnidaria, Anthozoa, Scleractinia, Merulinidae.
UCUUCUUUUUCAGAGAGAACUUUCUCGAAGUAAGAAUAUUUUUCGAGCAACUCAAUUUCGAAAGAGUCGUCGAGAGAGUUAGCUACAAGGAAGUCAACCUCGUGGCAGACAUUGGAGGGCAGCUGGGACUCUGGAUUGGCAUUUCAGUGUUGACAUGCUGCGAGUUGCUGGAGCUUAUUCUCCUAAUUAUCCAAACUGUUUUUAAAAGGAUGUUCUCAACGAACAUUAUACACGUCAAACCUGCUUGACAGUGAUCUGACGGAGACAUUUCCUGAUAUCUACCCCUUUUACAUCGUAGCAGGCAGCUCAAGAAUUGAAUUUACGCCCAUGCUAUUUUAAUUAGUCAAGUUUUCUGUACAAUUUAUAGUGGAUUCGAGUCGACUUAUGGCUCAAACUGCAUGUAGAGCCUAUUACCUGGCUAAUGCAUAAGAGUUACUUAGUAAGCUAGUGGUACCGAAUUUGUGAUCAGUAAGUUCCCACCAGCAGUUCCAGACACGUGCUUCUGAUUUACCUCAGCUCUUGCAAAGGCGGAACAGCCGCUUUGAAGUUUCUGGAAAUAAACAGUUUUAACUACAUUAGCAACUAGUAACUCGUCGAUGGACGGCAAAAUUCCCAGUAAAACGUUUUGGUCAUUGGUGUAUCAGAUAGUCAAAGGAGGUUUACUUAUUUUAUUUUGUCACUUAGUUUAGGUGAUCUCGAGGCGACAAUUAUUAAGCUGUUGCAUACACGUAUUGUCAUGAACGAUCGUCUCCAGGGUUUUCAAUUUUUAACUUUGUAAUUCGGGGUCAAUGGGGCGAUAGUUCCAACAUAUACAGAAAAUAAUCCAGUAGUAUUCAUUGACCAAGUGGGAAGUCUACAAAGAAAACACAUAUUCUUUCAAAGGUAACCGUGAUAUUGUGGCUUAGAAUUUUUAAAGAAAUGUGAAACGUCAUUUUAUUUGCUGUUUUGCAACUCGUUGGACACCAAAUAAAAUCUAUUAUAGCUUCUGUGUA